Molecule: ribosomal RNA, 305 nt
Filed under: uncultured bacterium
Lineage: Bacteria
Description: bacterial SSU rRNA
Rfam family: Bacterial small subunit ribosomal RNA
Source: RNAcentral
UAUCCCUACGGGACGCAGCAGUGAGGGAUAUUGGUCAAUGGGCGGAAGCCUGAACCAGCCAAGUCGCGUGAGGGAAGAAGGCCCUGCGGGUCGCAGACCUCUUUGGACGGGGAGCAAGGCCGCCGACGUGUCGGCGGAAGGAGAGUACCCGUAGAACAAGCAUCGGCUAACUCCGUGCCAGCAGCCGCGGUAAUACGGAGGAUGCGAGCGCUAUCCGGAUUUAUUGGGUUUAAAGGGUGCGCAGGCGGCACGGCACGCCGGCGGUCAAAUCGCGGGGCUCAACCCCGCCCAGCCGUCGUAACUGC